RNAcentral lists this ribosomal RNA (496 nucleotides) under uncultured bacterium. RNAcentral's name for it is "partial 16S ribosomal RNA". It matches the Rfam family "Bacterial small subunit ribosomal RNA", at positions 28 to 507 of the family's 1533-position model. The record is from RNAcentral.
GAUGAACGCUGGCGGCGUGCCUAAUACAUGCAAGUAGAACGCUGAAGGAGGAGCUUGCUCUUUCCGGAUGAGUUGCGAACGGGUGAGUAACGCGUAGGUAACCUGCCUGGUAGCGGGGGAUAACUAUUGGAAACGAUAGCUAAUACCGCAUAACAGUAGAUAUUGCAUGAUAUUUGCUUGAAAGGGGCAAUUGCUCCACUACCAGAUGGACCUGCGUUGUAUUAGCUAGUUGGUGAGGUAACGGCUCACCAAGGCGACGAUACAUAGCCGACCUGAGAGGGUGAUCGGCCGCACUGGGACUGAGACACGGCCCAGACUCCUACGGGAGGCAGCAGUAGGGAAUCGUCGGCAAUGGACGGAAGUCUGACCGAGCAACGCCGCGUGAGUGAAGAAGGUUGUCGGAUCGUAAAGCUCUGUUGUAAGAGAAGAACGAGUGUGAGAGUGGAAAGUUCACACUGUGACGGUAUCUUACCAGAAAGGGACGGCUAACUACGUG